Molecule: long non-coding RNA, 348 nt
Filed under: Mytilus galloprovincialis (Mediterranean mussel)
Lineage: Eukaryota; Metazoa; Mollusca; Bivalvia; Mytilida; Mytilidae
Source: RNAcentral
CGGGGACGGCAAAGUAAACUGCAACAUAAACAAUGAUUUCAAUGUAUCCGUUAGCUUCAAAUAGAAACGGAAUAAAGGAUACUUAUGCGUAUACUUUUGUAUCUGUAUAGUAAGAAAGACGACUGCAGGACAAAAGUCCUUCUUCUAGCACCGAAAAAAACCCACAUUUGCUUCAGCCGACAAAACACGGUUAUCAUGUUUAAAUUGAGUAAGUCAUGGACAUUUGCUUCAAAGUUUUUAAUCAAAUACUCUUCAUUUAUUUUCCGGCAUGUUUCUUUUUUGUUUGUAUAAAAGACUGUUCACGUCAUAAUCCAUAGUACGUUUAUUACGUCUAUACUUUCGCGGACC